This 315-nucleotide long non-coding RNA is filed under the name Triticum aestivum (bread wheat). Its description in RNAcentral is "long non-coding RNA (TAES_LNC017438)". Lineage: Eukaryota; Viridiplantae; Streptophyta; Magnoliopsida; Poales; Poaceae. The record is from RNAcentral.
UUUUUUCAUUUUUUUAUUUUUAGUGUAUUUAUAUGCCAUUAUACAAAUUUUGGUACAAUACCAAUUAUGAGGUUUAAUGCCACCAACAGUAGCUAUUUAAUCAUCAUUGUUAUAGUGUAGCACAACAUCAUCUUCAAACUCAUUCUAGCUAGCUAAUCACCACCAACACUAGGUGUGGUAGCUAUCUAAUCACCACCAACACUAGCUAAUAAUAAUCAUCAUAGUCAUUACCACCAACACUAGAUAUUUAAUCAUCAUAGUCAUAGUGUAGCACAUCAUCAUCUUCAAACUCAUUUCUAGCUAGCUAAUCACUCC